This 903-nucleotide ribosomal RNA is filed under the name Sarocladium strictum. Its description in RNAcentral is "LSU rRNA". It matches the Rfam family "Eukaryotic large subunit ribosomal RNA", at positions 38 to 964 of the family's 3401-position model. Lineage: Eukaryota; Fungi; Ascomycota; Sordariomycetes; Hypocreales; Sarocladiaceae. The record is from RNAcentral.
GCAUAUCAAUAAGCGGAGGAAAAGAAACCAACAGGGAUUGCCUCAGUAACGGCGAGUGAAGCGGCAACAGCUCAAAUUUGAAAUCUGGCCUCACGGUCCGAGUUGUAAAUUUGUAGAGGAUGCUUUUGGCGAGGUGCUUUUCCGAGUUUCCCUGGAACGGGACGCCAUAGAGGGUGAGAGCCCCCGUACGGUAAGACCACCGAGCCUCUGUAAAGCUCCUUCGACGAGUCGAGUAGUUUGGGAAUGCUGCUCUAAAUGGGAGGUGUACGUCUUCUAAAGCUAAAUACCGGCCAGAGACCGAUAGCGCACAAGUAGAGUGAUCGAAAGAUGAAAAGCACUUUGAAAAGAGGGUUAAAAAGUACGUGAAAUUGUUGAAAGGGAAGCAUUCAUGACCAGACUUGGGCUUGGUUGAACAUCCGGCGUUCUCGCCGGUGCACUCUGCCAGUCCAGGCCAGCAUCAGUUUGCCCCGGGGGACAAAGGCGGUGGGAAUGUGGCUCUCUUCGGGGAGUGUUAUAGCCCGCCGUGUAAUGCCCUGGGGCGGACUGAGGAACGCGCUUCGGCACGGAUGCUGGCGUAAUGGUCAUCAAUGACCCGUCUUGAAACACGGACCAAGGAGUCGUCUUCGUAUGCGAGUGUUCGGGUGUCAAACCCCUACGCGUAAUGAAAGUGAACGUAGGUGAGAGCUUCGGCGCAUCACCGACCGAUCCUGAUGUUCUCGGAUGGAUUUGAGUAAGAGCAUACGGGGCCGGACCCGAAAGAAGGUGAACUAUGCCUGUAUAGGGUGAAGCCAGAGGAAACUCUGGUGGAGGCUCGCAGCGGUUCUGACGUGCAAAUCGAUCGUCAAAUAUGGGCAUGGGGGGCGAAAGACUAAUCGAACCUUCUAGUAGCUGGGUUUCCGCCGA